AAUUCUGGGUAAAGAAGUGUGAACAUCUUUGAAAUGAUUUUUGAUUUACAGAAAAGUUGCAAAGAUAGCAUGGGGUUUCUACCUACCCUUCACCAACUUCCUCUAGUGCUAUUAUCUUACCUAACAGGGUACAUGAGUCAAAAGUUAUAAACUAACGCUGGUGUGAUGCUAUCAGUGAAAGCCCAGACUAUUUGGAUUUCAGUAAAUGUCCUUUUCCUGUUCCAAAAUCCAGUCCAAGAUACCAUGCUGUAAUUAGGAUGUGGACGCGCAGCAGCUCGGUGAUGCCAGGGCCUCGCUCGGGGUCACACAGCUGUCUGGGGACAGCCUUGGGUUUGGACAUCACGGUUCCUGCCUCUCAGCCCUGUGCUCUUUCGACAGCAUCUUACACAAUUUACCCUAUGGCAGAGGAGCAGGAUUAGCACCUCUGAAACAAUUGCAGAACUGGUGGGGGCCAGAGUUCCCCUUGCUGGUGAUUUCCCACCCACAGAGGGCUUGUUGCCAAUACCAUUAUCUUGUUUACUUACAGAUGCUUGCUUGGGGGUUGCAAUUUUCUUUUGAGGCCCUGGGGAUUUCUGGAAUUAAAAAAAAAUUCAGUAAAAUUGAAUUCCUCUAA
Molecule: long non-coding RNA, 613 nt
Organism: Chinchilla lanigera (long-tailed chinchilla)
Lineage: Eukaryota; Metazoa; Chordata; Mammalia; Rodentia; Chinchillidae
Exons: 2
Source: RefSeq, a predicted model, not a curated record